RNAcentral lists this small nucleolar RNA (106 nucleotides) under Nelumbo nucifera (sacred lotus). RNAcentral describes it as "Plant small nucleolar RNA R71". It matches the Rfam family "Plant small nucleolar RNA R71". From Rfam's summary of the family: R71 is a member of the C/D box family of snoRNAs containing the C (UGAUGA) and D (CUGA) box motifs. Multiple nearly identical copies of this snoRNA have been identified in Arabidopsis, and it is thought to function as a 2'-O-ribose methylation guide for 18S ribosomal RNA. Lineage: Eukaryota; Viridiplantae; Streptophyta; Magnoliopsida; Proteales; Nelumbonaceae. The record is from Rfam by way of RNAcentral.
AGACCAUGGUGGGGACACUUCCUAAGCAGUUCCUUAAUCUCUCCCACGAAUCACAUAAGGUUUCAUUAUCAAAUUGUGAAAAAUUUGUUGUGACAUUCCUUAAUUU